GCAUCUUCACAAGGUUCUUUGCUGUUGUUCUGGGAUUGAUUUGCACUUUUCACACCAAAGCACGUUCCAUUCUAGGAGACAGAAUGCGCAUACUUACUGAGAGGUAUGAUGACUGUGUGGUCCCAUGGUGUUUAUACUUGCGUUCUAUUGUUUGUACAGAUGAACGUGGUACCUUCAGGCGUUUGGAAAUUGCUCCCAAGGAUGAACCAGACUUGUGGAGGUCUACAAUUUUUUUCUGAGUACUGCUCUGUCUCUGGCUCCUGUCUCCUGUACCACGUCUCACCACCAACCACCUUGCUCUAGACUUCACUCACCACCACCUUGGAUUCCCCUCAGGACUUGUUUACCCUGUUCAACUCAGUCAACUACAACCUCACUCUACACUUCGGGUUUUUCUGCAACUCAUCUGAGCUACCCCGGUUCUGCACUCCAUAUCUCUCUGUGUACAAUAAACAUUUUGGUUCAUUCAUCCCUG
Long non-coding RNA from Salvelinus namaycush (lake trout), 475 nucleotides. RefSeq lists it as uncharacterized. NCBI's taxonomy places the organism in Eukaryota, Metazoa, Chordata, Actinopteri, Salmoniformes, Salmonidae. The record is from RefSeq and is a predicted model, not a curated record. The transcript has 2 exons.